UCCCGGAGGUGUGGGCCGGGCGCUCGGGUCCUGUGGCAGAGCCCAGAGGCACCUGUAGAGACCGAGGCGUGUCGUGAAAGCUGAUGCCUCACCUCCCCGAUGUGGAGGCGGAGGGAGGGCCGAAAGACAUGUCCGUGCGCGCUCACUGCAGCUGAGAAGGCAGGAGGAAGCUCGCUGGAGCCUCUCUGACCAGCACAGGAGGCCUCACUGUCCUGCUCUCACCCCAGAAGCCCUCCCGUACACCAGGACUCUGGGGGGGUGGCAGUCCCACACCCGCCGGGCGAUGAACAUCACAAGGAGAAGAGGCUUCUACAGACAGGAGGUGAACAAAACGCUCUGGGAGCUGCCCAGGAGAUACACGUCCCUCCACCCGCUGGGGUCUGGAGCCUACGGCUCAGUGUGUUCGGCCAUAGACAAGAAGACAGGGGAGAAGGUGGCUAUCAAGAAGCUCUGCCGCCCAUUCCAGUCAGAGAUCUUUGCCAAGAGAGCAUACAGAGAGCUCAUGCUGUUGAAGCACAUGCAACAUGAGAAUGUCAUUGGGCUUCUUGAUGUCUUCACCUCUGCUGCUUCCUACCAGGGCUUUCAGGACUUCUACCUGGUGAUGCCAUACAUGCGGACAGACUUACAAAAGAUCAUGGGACAUGAAUUCAGUGAUGAAAAGAUCCAGUACCUGGUCUACCAAAUGCUGAAAGGGCUAAAGUAUAUCCAUUCAGCUGGCAUCAUACACAGGGACCUGAAGCCAGGCAACCUGGCUGUGAAUGAAGACUGUCAGCUGAAGAUCUUGGAUUUUGGUUUGGCCAGACAUGCUGAUGCUGAAAUGACCGGCUACGUGGUUACGCGCUGGUACAGAGCCCCAGAAGUCAUUCUGAACUGGAUGCAUUACAACCAGACAGUGGAUAUCUGGUCUAUUGGCUGUAUCAUGGCAGAAAUGCUGACUGGGAAAACGCUGUUUAAAGGAAAAGACUACCUGGAUCAGCUGACUCAGAUCCUGAAAGUAACGGGGCACCCAGGAGAAGACUUCGUGGAGAAGCUGGAGGACAAAGCGGCCAAGAGUUACAUCAAGUCUCUCCCUAAAAUCCCCAAGAAGGAUUUGUCUGUGCUUUUCCCCAGAGCCAAUCCUCAGGGUAAGUCAUCUCCAGGGUUUCUCAGGAGUUCUCACUGCUGGAAGGGGGCAGGUUGGCCACUACAGUGCCAGGCUUCUUUCUCCUUCUCACAAUUUCCUCGUACUUCCUCCCUUGCAGGUUGGUGUCCCUGGGCACAUAAGUAGGAAUUAAAGGCAAAAUGACUCUUUGCUGGUGUUAACAUGGCAAUGUUCUGCUGUUCUUAGCUAUUUACUUCUUUAAGUUUAAAAUGGCACAGCCUGUAACACACAAUAUUUGAGGAAGAGAGAAACUUCUGACUCAUCAACAAGCCAGAAGAGAGCUGGUGCUGGAUUGAACAGGAUGUUGAGAUUAUGGGAUGCAAGUUGUGGGAUUAGGACAGCUGCAUUAUCAGCUCCAUUUGGUAUGAGAGUUGGGAUAAAUUUUGGCCAGUAUUGGUUUGCAGAAGUUGUUCCUUGUAGCCAAGCAGGUGCUAUGUGAUCAGUAGUGUUCAGAUAAACAAACCACCUCUUCUUUGUUCAUCAUUAUUUCCCAGCUCCACAUCAAAGGCAUCAUAGUUCUGAUAAACUGUUAUUUCUAUUAACUCUAAACUGUUGAAAACCUGGAUCUGUUCACCCAAGAAGCACAAUUUUCAGGGCAAAAACUGAUCUCUUGCAAGGAACAAUUUUCCUGAGCAGAUGAGAGGCAAAACUACUGUAAGAUCUGAAAGUAUUAAGAUGUUAAAACCAAGGGGGGAUGGGGCAGACAGACUAGAGGGUAUCUGCAUUUCCUGCCUUCAUGUUUACCAGUGAUGCAUAGAUUUCUGUAUAGAUUACCCAUGUUAAGAGUGCUUGGAGUUGUGGGGGCCUAAGUGAAUGACUAAAACUGAAAACUAUCUUGAAGUUGCUGAUUUCUUACGUUCUUUCAGCCCCAUCUGUGCAGCAAGACUUAUUCAAGAUUAAAUUGAUAUUUCUGCACCAUUUACGUCUCCAGCUCUGUUAGUAAGAGCUCCCUGAGGCUGCUAUUGGGCAGACUUUGCAUCCCCUCCGAUGGGAGCUCCACACUCCCCUGGUCAGGCUGAGGAAUCUCUUUUAGCAGUGGACCUGCUUGACAAGAUGUUGCAGCUGGAUGUGGAGAAGCGCAUGACAGCCACGGAAGCGUUGGCUCACCCCUAUUUUGACCAGUUCCGAGACGUUGAGGAGGAGACAGAAG
RNA transcript from Pezoporus flaviventris, 2291 nucleotides. It is a transcript of the gene named mitogen-activated protein kinase 13, with no coding region annotated. Lineage: Eukaryota; Metazoa; Chordata; Aves; Psittaciformes; Psittacidae. The record is from RefSeq and is a predicted model, not a curated record. The transcript has 11 exons.